AUCCCCCCAUAGCCAUUAUGUUACCAUGUAGUUACAGAUGAUGGAAAUAUAUCAUGUACUACUUCUGAACCAAAAUAUAAGACAUUUUUGUAGGCUAAACUAGCCUACUAAAACGUCUUAUAUUUUGAUACGGAGGGAGUAUAUACUUUCUUAUACCCUAAACAAAAAAUAUGUGGUUCUCUAUGUGUAGGAUCUUGUUCCUUGUGUUCUCCUGUCAUUUGACAAUGAGCAGAUAUUAAUCUACAGAGGCAGUGAAUGGAACUCUAGAUACUCAGCCUCCCACUAUCACUCCAAAAGUUCAAAAGAAUAAUCUGACAGUGUCAACUGCUUUGAGUAACUCAGGAUGGGUGGUUAGAAGAGCUGGAAGGGAAGGCGCAAGAACAUGAUAAGAAGGAUGUUGCACAACAAGAGAAGAUAAAGGAGCUCUAGAUUGUUGUAGAGAAGAUUAUCAGUUUUUACUGGCGGCCGUUAGAAGCUGUAUAGAAGAUGAUGCAUUUUUAUUAGAUUCAAGUGAGAUUAUUCAGAUUUGCAUAAAAAAGCUGUAUAGAAGUUGAUGCAUUUUUAUUAGAUUCAAGUGAGAUUAUUCAGAUUUGCAUAAAAAGUGCCGAGGAUCGUGCAAAGCUAAAUUAUCUUUGUUGUUGCUGCUUA
Long non-coding RNA from Triticum aestivum (bread wheat), 648 nucleotides. RefSeq lists it as uncharacterized. Lineage: Eukaryota; Viridiplantae; Streptophyta; Magnoliopsida; Poales; Poaceae. The record is from RefSeq and is a predicted model, not a curated record. The transcript has 2 exons.